UACGGGGGGAGCAAGCGUUGUUCGGAUUUACUGGGCGUAAAGGGCGCGUAGGCGGCCACCGCAAGUCGACUGUGAAAUCUCCGGGCUUAACCCGGAAAGGUCAGCCGAUACUGCGGGGCUAGAGCGCAGAAGGGGCAACUGGAAUUCUCGGUGUAGCGGUGAAAUGCGUAGAUAUCGAGAGGAACACCUGCGGCGAAGGCGGGUUGCUGGGCUGACACUGACGCUGAUGCGCGAAAGCUAGGGGAGCGAACGGG
Molecule: ribosomal RNA, 254 nt
Filed under: uncultured bacterium
Lineage: Bacteria
Description: partial 16S ribosomal RNA
Rfam family: Bacterial small subunit ribosomal RNA
Source: RNAcentral